CGCUCCCGUGACUAGUGGUUAGAGCGUCCGCCUCGGAUGCGGGAGGUCGUGGGUUCGAUUCUCGGUCACGU
Potamilus streckersoni is the source of this 71-nucleotide non-coding RNA. Lineage: Eukaryota; Metazoa; Mollusca; Bivalvia; Unionida; Unionidae. The record is from the annotation of a GenBank genome assembly.